RNAcentral lists this ribosomal RNA (253 nucleotides) under uncultured bacterium. Its description in RNAcentral is "partial 16S ribosomal RNA". It matches the Rfam family "Bacterial small subunit ribosomal RNA", at positions 524 to 776 of the family's 1533-position model. The record is from RNAcentral.
UACAGAGGUGGCAAGCGUUGUUCGGAAUUACUGGGCGUAAAGGGCGCGUAGGCGGUUCGUUAAGUCCUGUGUGAAAUCCCCCGGCUCAACUGGGGAACUGCACAGGAAACUAGCGGGCUUGAGUUCGGGAGAGGGAAGCGGCAUUCCGGGUGUAGCGGUGAAAUGCGUAGAUAUCCGGAGGAACACCGGUGGCGAAGGCGGCUUCCUGGACCGACACUGACGCUGAGGCGCGAAAGCUAGGGGAGCAAACGGG